CUUCUUUAUUUCCACCAGUUCACAGGUGCAACAAGGUUCUAUGGGCUAAGCAUAAGAAGAAUGUAAAUGUUGGUCAAUUUCUCAAACACUGCAGAUUACAUUUAGAAGUUAUUUGAAGGCCAUUUGAUCAGCCAAACACAGCACAGACACCCUUGAGCACCUGCAAGGUAUCUCUAUUGGAGAUGAACGCAUGUUCAAUACACGUGGCCUGCCUGAGUCAUUAGCAAAGUGUCCAACAACUCUGAGGCGUAUCCUCAAAUGAAGCCUUGUCUCUGUGAAAUUCCUGAUAAAUCGUCAUUUUAUGGAAUGCCACAGGAAGAAGUUUUCUUUACAAGUUCUGAAGACUUGUGAUGAAUGAGUCCAUAGUUUCACCUUUGAAAAUGUCCCUGGGAGUGUCAACCCCAUCACUUUUACUUAUAUUACACUCAUAAUCAGUUCAUCUCGCCAAGAAAAAUAAUAUUAUCCUCAUGCCCAAACUUGUGACUUGAUUUGAAAACCAGUAAAUCAGAAAUAAAACUUCCCAUGUGUUUUUUUCCUACAUGAAUCCAAGUGACUCAGAUAUUGUGUUAUUCAAUAAGACUAUUACCAUGACUCAGGUAAAAGGGCCGUUUAUAUUUUCUGAAGUCUCAAGUCUAGGGUCCAAAAUAAAACUAGCAUCUUUUAUAGAAUAAUUUUUCUCUAAAAUGAAAUGUGUAUGUCACCUGGUUGUCAAAAUCCUUAUUUAAAUCUUUAAGGAGAAAAGCAAUGGUUUGGA
This 754-nucleotide long non-coding RNA is filed under the name Homo sapiens (human). RNAcentral describes it as "HSALNT0269161". Lineage: Eukaryota; Metazoa; Chordata; Mammalia; Primates; Hominidae. The record is from RNAcentral.